This 541-nucleotide small RNA is filed under the name Pongo abelii (Sumatran orangutan). Its description in RNAcentral is "processed transcript". The record is from RNAcentral. Lineage: Eukaryota; Metazoa; Chordata; Mammalia; Primates; Hominidae.
GUCGGGCCGGGCCCGGCCGCUUCCGCGAGCGCCCGGCAGACUGAGGGAGAGAGAAAGAGGAGGGGAGGAGGAGGAGGAUUCAGGGAAUAGGAGCUGGGGAGCCCUUCUGCGCCACAGUGAUAUCAGUAUCAAGAUAAAAGUUUGGAAUGGGAGAAAAAUUCUCAAAGCCUGAAAGAAAAUCUGAGAUGCUUGGAGUGUAAAGAUCCCAUGGUCACAUAAAUCCGGAAAGCACUGAAUACUUUGUUUCCCAUAAGAGAAUCCCAUUAUAUGUUGAUGUAUUAAAAGACCUGAGAACCUGGUGUAGUUACUUUUGGUGACACUAUCCAGUUCCCACAAUGUAUCAUUCCUUAACUGAAACUAGACAUCCUCUGCAGCCAGAAGAACAAGAAGUAGGCAUUGACCCCUUGUCCAGUUACUCUAACAAGUCUGGAGGAAAGAAUGGGAAGAACUAUUUGUAAACAACAAUUACUUGGCAACAAUAAGGCAGAAGGGGAUUAAUGGGCAGCUGAGAAGCAGCAGGUUCCGCAGCAUUUGCUGGAAG